UAUUAAAAAUUUUAUCAAUUUGUACUGUUAAAAACUGGCGUGGCUAAUGGAAUAAUUAACCAAUGACACGUGCUGUGCCACAUGUAUCUUAUGUUGAUGUACAUAGAUCAAUUUUUAACAGUAGAAAUGGAAAAAAGUUUUAAUG
Gossypium hirsutum (cotton) is the source of this 145-nucleotide non-coding RNA. NCBI's taxonomy places the organism in Eukaryota, Viridiplantae, Streptophyta, Magnoliopsida, Malvales, Malvaceae. The record is from Rfam.